UCUCUGUUAUUUAGUUGUUAGUACCCAUUUCAAUAUAUAUAUACAUGCAUAUUGAUGAUCUGAAUGGACAUAUUCUAGUCAUGGAAUCAUGCUUUUCUUCCUCUUCAUUAAAAAUUCCCUUCUGGCUUCUGUGUCUGCAUGAUGACAUUGCAAAGUUAGAAAGCAGUCUUUCUUUUUUCAUUAAGACUUUUUCCUGAUGGGGGUGAAGGAAAUAGCUCGGAACACUCAGACAAACCAGCUCCUCCUGUCCACCCAUUCCACCCAAAUAUGACAAUCCGACGUGGCGUGUUGGCAUCGGAUAGUGCAGAUAUAAUGCAGCAAUUCUUCCAGCUGAGGAGAAGGAAGAAGGAAAAGCAAGCAGACCCGGCAGCAGCGCCCCCGCGUCUUCAUCGAAUUUCUCUCCAUCCAUCAAAGUUAAUUACGAAGAUGCAUCGCAUCUUCCACAUAAUGUUCUGUUUGUAAGAGUUCAAAGACUGUUAGUUUGAUGAAUGUACAAAUCUGUGUCGAAUUUUGGCGAAAUUUAGUUGUCUUUCUCUCAGUUUGUCCAAAAA
Molecule: long non-coding RNA, 551 nt
Organism: Pyrus x bretschneideri (Chinese white pear)
Lineage: Eukaryota; Viridiplantae; Streptophyta; Magnoliopsida; Rosales; Rosaceae
Exons: 2
Source: RefSeq, a predicted model, not a curated record